Molecule: long non-coding RNA, 1751 nt
Organism: Nicotiana attenuata
Lineage: Eukaryota; Viridiplantae; Streptophyta; Magnoliopsida; Solanales; Solanaceae
Exons: 6
Source: RefSeq, a predicted model, not a curated record
ACUAUGCUCUGGUUGCUUGCUUGCCUCCUGGAAUCAUCAAUCUUUGGUAAAUUUCAAACUCAAAUCUCUCCACAUUUCCUCAAUUAGGGCAAGUUGAAAAGCAAAUAGUAGAAGAAAAAGACACUUUCUGCUCUGUCCUCGUAAGAAUCAGCAUGAGUACUCAAGAUAGACACAGAGCUGAUGUUGAAGGGGGCAAACAAGAUAGAAUCAGUGAUCUACCAAGACACAUUUUAGCUAGUAUCGUUGAGCUCUUGCCACCUAAAGAUGGAGCAAGAACUCGUGUCUUGUCCGGAAAAUAGAGAUUUAUUUGGUCCAUGGUUCCAAGUCUGCUGCUCUAUGACUUCUUUGAUAGCUUAGCAGUACAGACUCCAGCUUUCUUCAAACAAACAGUAGAUGAGAUUCUCUUACUCCAUCUUGGAGACAUUCUGAAGUUUGAACUUAAAAUUCCAGUAGCACUUUCGACUUCAUAUGCAGAUAUAGAUAGAUGGAUGCUUUAUGUCACCAGAAAUGGUGUCAAGAAGCUAUCUCUUUUCCUGCCAUAUAAUAGUACUUAUAAACUGCCAUCUUAUGUAUUUAGUUGUUCAACCCUGACAUCUUUGUGCCUAAGCAAUGGUGUCUUCAAACCACCUAAUUCUUUUCUUUGCUUUCCAAAAUCUUGAAACCUUCCUCCUGGAAAGAGUAACCAUUAUGCCAACCACAACCACAGAGUGUUGUGUUAUCAAAGUCCCCCGUCUUGUCUAUUUGGACUUGUUACACUGUGAUGGUACUGAAUACCUGAACAUUGUUUCACCAUUGUUGGAGUUAUUGAGUGUUUAUGAUGUUCACUAUCUCGUGCUAAAUUGCUUUAUGAACUGCACAAAAUUGAGAGUGUUAAACCUUAGAUUUAACAAAGUGGUGGAUAAUCUGAUUCCUGAUGAAAGAUCAACUUUGGAAAAGCUUCUUUUUAGCUUGGCACCUACAGUUGAGAAACUUAAUUUGGAUUCAUUUUUCCUUGAGCUUUGUGCUGCAGAUAUGGUUCCUAAGAUGCCUCCUUUUAUACCCAACCGCUUGUGGCAUCUAUCAUUCUUUGUGGACUUGGACAAAUUGAGUCCAACUUCUGGCGCUCUACAGUUAAUUAAGAGUGUCCCAAUUUGAGAGAACUUGAUAUUUGGGUCCGUUUUACCAGCAACAAUGCUGAAGCAGUUUCAAAAUAUUUGAAUACACCAGCCUGCUUGGACCGACCGCUCAACAAGCUCAAACGCGUGGUCAUACAUAUUUAAUGGUUCAAAAACUGAACUGCUUUUCAUAAAGUUGUUGUUUGCUCGCACUCCAUCUUUGGAAAAGAUGAUCAUUAUGCCAGUGGAAGACUUUCAUUUCUGCGAAGAAAGGAAUAUCACCACAAAGUUGACGAGUUUCCCGCGUGCAUCUCCAGAGGCUGAGAUUUUUUAUUCUGAUGUGUGCCUUAACAUACCAAUCUCAAGUUCCAGCCAACAGUAGGGCUGAUCUCCAAUACAAAGUUUGUAUUUUGACGCCCCCUUCAUUGGUACUAUGGGAAAAUAGUCAAGUAAAUGCAUCAGUGGUUGUUUCCAUGGAAAAAGACUGCCAAAUAUAUAUAUAUAUAUAUAGCUCAUCAAAAGUAUGAGAUUUAUGUAUAAUACAAAAUAGAACUUACCUUUGAUUUGGCUCUGCAACUGUAAGGUUCUGCUUGUCUGCUUUUUGGUAAGACCUGAAAGUCUAUUGCUAAAUGUAAAAUUGCUGCUUUUGAAAUCUAA